CUCCACCCAGCCCCAGAAGCUGAGAAGCCAUCCCUGAGAGGGGGGAAAAGGGCCCCAAAUGCAUCUUCUCCGACUCAGCGGGCAGCGAGGACUCACCCUGCAGCCGAACAGUCCCAGCUCCCUCCCGUCCUCCCCAUUCCCGCUCGCCAAGGGGAAUAACUUCAUCAACCUGAGCUUUCUCCGCCUCUUCCGAGCUGCCCGGCUCAUCAAACUUCUCCGUCAGGGUUACACCAUCCGCAUUCUUCUCUGGACCUUUGUGCAAUCCUUCAAGGCCCUGCCUUAUGUCUGUCUGCUGAUCGCCAUGCUCUUCUUCAUCUAUGCCAUCAUUGGGAUGCAGGUGUUUGGUAACAUUGGCAUCGACGUGGAGGACGAGGACAGUGAUGAAGAUGAGUUCCAAAUCACUGAGCACAAUAACUUCCGGACCUUCUUCCAGGCCCUCAUGCUUCUCUUCCGGUG
This 456-nucleotide long non-coding RNA is filed under the name Pan troglodytes (chimpanzee). RNAcentral describes it as "long non-coding RNA NONPTRT008382". Lineage: Eukaryota; Metazoa; Chordata; Mammalia; Primates; Hominidae. The record is from RNAcentral.